Molecule: non-coding RNA, 371 nt
Organism: Vicugna pacos (alpaca)
Lineage: Eukaryota; Metazoa; Chordata; Mammalia; Artiodactyla; Camelidae
Source: RefSeq, a predicted model, not a curated record
UAUUUUUCUUCAUGUGUUUUUAUUGUGGGGGCCGCAUGUUAUUUAUGAAAACUAGGUGAGGCCCAGCUUUUAUUUUUAAUGAGCUGUCUUCAUAUGAAAGACCAUCAUUCCUAGGGACAUAUAAGUGUGACUUUCAUUGUAUCUGUGAAAGAAAUUUCUAACUUAAAAGAAUUACCUCAGACAAUCAUAUGUUGUAGGCAGACAGAUUUAAUACCUUAUUAUGGUCUGUGUCACCCUGUGCUGUGACUUUGUUCCCCUUUAUAAAACACUCUCCUGUUCCGUGUUAUCUCCAUAUCCCAGUGAGCACUAGAUGUACCAUAAACAUACACAGACCUGUUUGAAUAAGAAAAUAAAUGAGUGAAUGCGUUCAA